CCCCCGGCACCACCACCCCCCCGCCCCCAUUCCCUUGGGUGCCUGGCAGGGCCGCAGUCCGUCCCUGCCGGUCCCUCUCUCCAGCCCUGGGCCGGCCCCGCCUACAGCUGCACGGUGACUCCAGGAACACUCACAUCCGGCCCCCUCGGGACCAGAGGGUGUCUGCCUGUGUUUACGGCCCUGCCCUACAGGGGCCUCUGCUGUUGGGGCUGCUACAGCUGUCUGGGGAGGCAGGCUGGUGGGGCUGGCUCAUCCUAGACCUCCUAGAGCCUGGGGUGAGAGUGAGGGAACCGCACCCCCCUCCUCCCCGCCCACAGGUGAGCUUGGCCUGACCCCCAGCUUGGGUUGGGAACUGUCCAAAUCACUGCAGGAACCCUGUCAGCAACAGCAGUUUGAGUAAUGGAGCCCAUGGGACCAGAUGGAGGAAGAGUGUGUGGAGAAGGUGAGGACUAUUGAUGGAGUAAAAGCCAGAGUGGGCUGGGGCAGGGCUCUGAGAGCUCCUGGAAGGGGUCUGUAAGCCUUUUUACCCCCAGGCAGGGCAGGGGGUGUCUAGCCCCCCGACUCUUGGCUCAUCUAGCUACUCCCAGAGCACAGACCAGGGGCAGGGCAGACAGUUCGGGUUGCUGUGUGCCUUAGUCUGCAGACAUUCCAGUGAGAGAAACCAUCCAGCGACUGGAACAGGAGGUCGGAUGUCGAGUGACUAGAGAGGUGGGUGCCUUCUGGUGGAAUGUGGACCCCAGCCUGCAUUUCUGCCUCCCCAGGUCUUUGGAUUUCCCUCUCCAGUUUAUGCCUGGGCAGUUCAGGUUUCUCACCUUAGUAACCAUAGGUCACUGUUGAGUCCCAAGUUCCAGUCAGCCAAGCAAGAAAACUGUCAGGACAACACCAGCUGCACUAACUAACUCAUUAUAUCCAGUCUCCAGUAAGCGGCCUUGUAUCAGUGAGCUUUGCUCCGUGCAGUGAGGUCCGCUCUCACUGGCUUAACACCCUGAGAAUCCACUCCCGUGCGGCUUCUUGAGUGUUGACUGUACAUCUGUCUGCAGGUCUUGCCCUUCUGUGUAAGAGCGGUUCCCUUCUGGGUCGCCAUGAGCACCCGCUCCCCGGAGCGUGCUGAGGCUUGACCCGUGGCACUUGUGGGUCUAGUGACAGCAGGGGGCGCUUGUGUUCCCCAGCCAGGGAUUGAACGUGUGCCUGAGAGGGUAACAGGCAGGAAGGCCAGAGGUUCCCAAGCAGCAGGAGGAAAUAAACUGCAAGUGGCAGACGACCUGCUUUGAGCGAACUAAUGUUUUUCUUGUGGAAAUGUUUUUUAAACUAUGUAUUUGCUGUAGAAUUUGCCUUUCUUCAAAAUGGUUCCACCCAAGAAUAACUUUUUUCUUUUCUCAAACCUUGGGCUGAUAAUGGCUCAACAAACCAGUAUUCCUAUCAAUUGUUUUAUGGCUGGGGGAUGCCAUCCUAUCUAUUGUGGGAGAGGGCUAGUGAAACUCCCUCAGCCUUGAGGUGUCUCUCUUAUCUGAUUAAUAGCUUUCUAACAGAUAUUAAACACCUUGCUAAAAGCUAGCAAGGGGGCCCUCUUUCUGUCCUCUUCUGAUGUCAGUGUCAGAAGCUUUCCUAUCUCUAUACUUUUUUGUUACACAAAAAGUUCCCCAAGCAGUCAAGCCUCAUCUCUGACCCCAGAUUGAAAUCCUCUCCUCCGGAGGUCACGGGUCCCGGUGAAACACACAGCCCACGGCAGCAACCUUUCACGCCAUUAGUAGAGGAAGCACGGUCCUAACCACUGGACCACCAAGGAACUCCGUCUCUUUUAAAUACAGCAGCAUGUGCAUGUCCUUCCCAAACUCCCAGGCUAUCUCCUGUCCUUCCCCCAGUAGCCCUAGGUUUUUCUCUAAGUCUAUGAGUUUUUGAAGUUCAUUUGUAUCAUUAAAAAAAAAUUCUACAUAUAAGUGAUAUCAUAUUUUUCUCUGUCAGACUUACUUCACUUAAUAUGAUAAUCUCCCAGUCAAUCCAUGCUGUUGCAAAUGGCAUUACUUCAUUCUUUUUCACGGCUGAGUAGUAUUCACUAUGUAUCACAUACACCCCCUACAUCUUUGUUAUCCAUUCAUCUUGUUGAUGGCAUUUAGGCCAUGGAUUUCUAAUGUUUCAUUUCCUACUGCCAAGGAGCUCAGCAGUGGACUCAAGCCAAAGGCACCAUUAUCCAUUCAUCCUGUUGAUGACAUUUAGGCCAUGGAUUUCUAAUGUCUCAUUUCCCACUGCCAAGGAGCUCAGUAGUGCAAUCAAGCCAAAGGCAGGAACAAACCAACCCCCAAAUCCUGUCUUUGUGAAUUUAUCUCUGGGAACACUUUGUGAGUUUAUCUCUGGGAACACUCCAGAUGCCAAGGCUCUUAUCAGUCUGGAUCCAGUCUAGAGAGAAAAGCCACACAGUAAUUUGAACAGGGAAAGUUUAAUAUAGAGAAUCAAUGACUUUAACAGCAACAUGAAAUAAGGAGGGGAUUCAUUGGUAAGGGGCCCUGGGAGUUACUGGAAAUCCACCUUCAGGGGUAUGGUGGAGAGGCAUUCAGAGAGACACCUCAGUGGAGGCUGUCCUGUGCAGGGUCGGGGGUGGAGGGCGCCAGGGGAAGCUGCUGACCACCUGAUUCACCUCAGCAGAUGCGGGGAGCCCUGCACCACCAUGCACUGCAGGGCAGCUGAAGCAAGCACCCCUGAGCAGAGCCACAAAGCAAAAGCCUUUCCUCCCUUGAAGAACAUCUCUCGGGCGCCCUCUACUGGCAACCCUUAUCAGGCCAGUUAGCAAAGGACAAUACUUCAAAGGCCCAAAGCAAACAACGUUGAAUUUGGAGCUGAGUGUCAAUAAGGAGAACGCUGUGGGACUCCCCGCAUGUAGUGGAUAUGGACCAGGGAUACUGCAGCCCGCAGUGAGCCGAGUCGUCCCACACAGGGAAGAAUCAGCCCUGUAGAAUGCCAGUAGUGCCCCCUGGCAGGAAACAGGAGCACAUGCAAGUGGGAUAAUCCGACUUCUGACAGAAGUCAAGAGAAGUUUCUUGCCAGAGAAGUGGGCACGGUGUGGGGCAACCACAGGGGAGAGUGCAGCUCCCCGGGGCUACUUGCAGCCAGGGGCCCUUACCUCCCCCAGGAUAGAGAAGGGGGCUCCUGAAACUGGGAAGGAGAGAAGCAUGUGGAGAGGGCUAUCUGACAAGCUGAGAGGAGCUGUGAGCUUCAGGCUAGGUGCAGCCAGCCACAGCACCCCGGCGGUGGAGAACAAAUGUCCCAACCUCAGGCUCUCCUCCCCUCACCCCAGCCCGACCCCCCGAGUUGAAUGAGCCGAACAGAGCCAGAAGGAUGAGCUGCUGGGCACUCAGCACAGCCUGGCAGAGACCUUGCUUGAUGGGGAGGGGCCGAAGGCUAGGCGGGGAUGGGGCUGCCGGCUGCAUCCCGGGACUGCUCCUCUGGCCCCACCUUGAGGCCCUGUGCCCAGUCAGCC
This is a long non-coding RNA of Bubalus bubalis (water buffalo), 3472 nucleotides long. RefSeq lists it as uncharacterized. Lineage: Eukaryota; Metazoa; Chordata; Mammalia; Artiodactyla; Bovidae. The transcript has 2 exons. The record is from RefSeq and is a predicted model, not a curated record.